CCUACGGGAGGCUGCAGUGGGGAAUAUUGCGCAAUGGGCGAAAGCCUGACGCAGCGACGCCGCGUGAAGGAUGACGGCCCUAUGGGUUGUAAACUUCUUUUAUACGGGAAUAAACCCGGGUACGUGUACCCGGCUGAAUGUACCGUAAGAAUAAGGAUCGGCUAACUCCGUGCCAGCAGCCGCGGUAAUACGGAGGAUCCAAGCGUUAUCCGGAUUCAUUGGGUUUAAAGGGUGCGUAGGCGGAUUUGUAGAAAUCCUACAGCUUAACUGUAGAACUGCCGUUGAUACUGCAAGUCUUGAGUACAUUUGAUGUGGGCGGAAUGUGUCAUGUAGCGGUGAAAUGCUUAGAUAUGACACGGAACACCAAUUGCGAAGGCAGCUCACAAAACUGUAACUGACGCUGAGGCACGACAGCGUGGGGAUCAAACAGGAUUAGAUACCCCAGUAGUC
This 450-nucleotide ribosomal RNA is filed under the name uncultured bacterium. RNAcentral describes it as "partial 16S ribosomal RNA". It matches the Rfam family "Bacterial small subunit ribosomal RNA", at positions 338 to 795 of the family's 1533-position model. The record is from RNAcentral.